This 65-nucleotide transfer RNA is filed under the name Calohilara tibetensis. RNAcentral describes it as "tRNA-Cys". Lineage: Eukaryota; Metazoa; Arthropoda; Insecta; Diptera; Empididae. The record is from RNAcentral.
AGCUUUAUAGUCAAUAAUGAUUUUAGACUGCAAUUCUAAAGGAGUAAGUAAAAUUACUAAGGCUU